ACCGCUCUGCCGUGUUCGAGGGCUCUGGCUUCAUUUGCCUUGUCCCAUAAUUCGACCUCGGGAUCGUAGUGCCGGUUGGUGUGCAUGUCCGUCACGUGCGGAAAGCCUGAAGACCGGCGAGCCUUCCCACCUGAUCCUAGGGAUCAAGGUCGCGGCCAGCGCUACGGCACGGCGGACGGUG
This 181-nucleotide non-coding RNA is filed under the name Ahniella sp. RNAcentral's name for it is "6S RNA". It matches the Rfam family "6S / SsrS RNA". Rfam says of the family: E. coli 6S RNA was the first non coding RNA to be sequenced, but its function was unknown until recently. It consists of 184 nucleotides that fold into an extended hairpin structure with a large single-stranded internal bulge. The record is from RNAcentral. Lineage: Bacteria; Pseudomonadati; Pseudomonadota; Gammaproteobacteria; Lysobacterales; Rhodanobacteraceae.